GGCUCCGGGGGCGGCCGCCUUCGAACUUCCGGCUUCCGGGCCAAUCACCCUUACUACGCAUCCUCAGACGAUCCUUUCUCUCGCAGAGGCCCGUUGGAUUAUGGGGGUUGUAGUCACUCUCCGUUGAGAGAGGGUCUUUUGUGACCUGGAACCAGAACUUCUAGUAUAUACCGUCACGCUAGAAAAGUUCUGUCCGACUCAGUGUCAGCCAAUCCCCAGCCUACGGCCCAGUGACGUCUCCGGAAGCUAAGUAGACUCGUAGAGUAAGCCGCGCGCCCCCUAGAGCUGCGCUCAUCCCCUGGCCAGGCUUCGGCCGAGUUCAGGGAGAAAAUAAUGGAGGGAAUGGAAGAUGAGACAAAGAAGUGGAUACCUGACACCAGUGACCCACAUCAUGGGGUGCAGACCCUCGCCUUUGGUCACUUUCCCCAUGCACCCCAGGAACCUACCUUGGAGUAAAAGUAUCGGCAUACAGCCUCCUGAGCCCAAGGCUGGAAGUAGAACUCAGCUCGGCGCUCUUCUUCUGGGUUGCCCACCACAUCAGUCAUGGUCUGAGGAAGAAAACAGACUUGUUUCCUUCCUUCACAGCUAUUAUGGAUUGAAUUGUAUCCCCUGCAAAAAUGUCAAAAUCCUAACCCCUCACUACCUGUGCAUGUGACCUUAUUUGGAAAUAGGAUCUCUGCAGAUCAUCUAGUUAACAUGAGGUCAUUAGGGUGGGUCUAAUCCAUUAUGACUGGUAUCCUUAUAAAAAGGGGAAACUUGGGACACAAAGACAGCCAUGAACAGAGGGAAGAUAAUGUGAAGACACAUGGAAAGCACCCUCUGCAAACCAAGAAAUGUCUAAGACUAUCACAAGCUAGGAGAGAGGCAGGAAACAUUCUCCCUCACAGCCCUCAGAAGGAACCAACCCCUGCUGACACCUUGGCUUCAGGCUUCUAGCAUCCAGAGCUGUGAAACAAUACACGUCUUUUGUUUAAGCCACCCAGUUUAUGGUGCUUUACUACAGCAGCCCUAGCAAACUACUGAUACAACACCCAGUCACACCCUGAUAUUAAGAGGUCAUUUUACACUGCCUCACUUGGGGUCCUACCUGGCACCCCCCGUUCCUUGCUUCUCUGCUCUGCCACUGUCAUUGUAGUCAGCCACAUGACAGGUGAGAAUUGAAGGCACAUCGCACUCAUUCUGUGCUCAUUCCUACCUUCUUGCCUGAGCUUACGGUGCUCCCUUCACUGGGAAAUACCUCAAACCCCAAGUUCCCCAGCUGUUCUAGCCUAAUACGUCUCCUUUCAAUUACCAUAUUGGUUCUGAUGAUUUCUGUUAACAUUUUACAUGUUUUACUACGUUUAAAUCAAAUUAGCCCAUGUCCUUCAUCCAAAAAAACGACCUGGCCUGAGACAUUUUCUUUUGCUAUUAACUUCCUUGCCCCACCCUCCUUCUACCUAUAAAAAUCUUCCAUUCUGUACGGCU
This is a long non-coding RNA of Manis javanica (Malayan pangolin), 1464 nucleotides long. RefSeq lists it as uncharacterized. NCBI's taxonomy places the organism in Eukaryota, Metazoa, Chordata, Mammalia, Pholidota, Manidae. The record is from RefSeq and is a predicted model, not a curated record.